CUUUGAAGAUAUUUGAUUGCCUGACAAUGGCCAUUUCUGUCUAUCAACACAGAUCUACAUUUGUCUCCUUUCUGGGACAUAACAAGGUGAGAUUUCUUCAAGUACAGCAAAGCAGUGGCUGCUCCACUGAAUUCAGCAAACCUCUCACACCUACAUCAAGUUUCUGGGGGCACCUGUCAGUCGUCAAAAAGUCCAGAUUCAUCAAUAAUAGCCCAUUUAGAAUUUUUUGAAGACUAUAAUUUUAUUACCAGAAUUUAUUUGCUAGCAAGUAUUUAAAAUUAUUUGCCUUUUUACUUAAGCCCAAUCAUAUAUUUGUGACUCUAUAUUUAUGCCACUGUUCUCAGGGUGUGUUAUGGAAUUCUUUCCCUGUAGUUCACUGUAGCUGUAUGCGCUGCUACUUUGAAACCUGUAGCUGUAUGGAAUCUACAGGAAUUUAUUGUUCAUGCCUCUGCCUGCUUUCUGGUAAUGUGCCCUCUUUGUCAUUUGAUACCUUUCUUCACUUGUAUUAAAAAUGUUCAGCUCUUGUAAAUCUGACCUCCUGUCUUAUAGUCUGAAAUCUACAAUUCAGUUGUAAUGCCUGCCAUAAAGGGCUCACUUUUCAGGACUGUCUCACUUGCACGUAUUGUAAUUUUUGAAAAUAGAGGCCUAAAAUAAGGUGCUUUUUUAAAUUUUGUUAAAAAUGUUUGUCACUGCGAAAGUUUUACAUGAAUGCAUCCUAUAUUUAAAAGGGUGUUACACACACACACACACAACAACAUUAGGUUCUAAUGUCCUUAUUAUUUAGAAACAAUAAGAAUGUUAUAAAGCUGCCCAGAAGUAUAGAGAAAGGAAACGUGCUAUUACAUCUGUGAUUAAAGAGGCAUGUGGCUAAUGAGUGGAAUGAACUGUCAGAGAAUGUUGAAGAGAAAGGAGUGAAGUUGUGAACUAGUGUUUGCAGCUUUGUUUUCUGGAAUCUAGAAAUUUCUGGAAGGUGAGAAGGGUAUCCCAUACAAUGUUCUAUAGAAACCUGUCUUGCUCAACUUAAUUUUUAAGUCUUCGUAGAGUUGGAUUUGCUCGGUAUUUUUCAUUCUAACUGUAAUAAACAUGAAAGCUGUU
Molecule: long non-coding RNA, 1095 nt
Organism: Chelonia mydas (Green sea turtle)
Lineage: Eukaryota; Metazoa; Chordata; Testudines; Cheloniidae
Exons: 2
Source: RefSeq, a predicted model, not a curated record